Molecule: unclassified non-coding RNA, 294 nt
Filed under: Hevea brasiliensis (rubber tree)
Lineage: Eukaryota; Viridiplantae; Streptophyta; Magnoliopsida; Malpighiales; Euphorbiaceae
Source: RNAcentral
AGCGCACCAAUCUGCGCGGCCGAACCCAGGUCAAUCUGUUCUUCGAGGCCUCCACCCGCACGCAGUCCUCGUUCGAGAUCGCGGGCAAGCGGCUCGGCGCGGACGUGAUGAACAUGUCGGUCUCAUCGUCCUCGAUCCGCAAGGGCGAGACGCUGAUGGACACGGCGGUGACCCUCAACGCCAUGCAUCCGGACAUUCUGGUGGUGCGCCAUCAUGCGUCCGGCGCAGUGGAACUGCUCGCCCAGAAAGUCGACGGCUCGGUGAUCAACGCCGGCGACGGCGCGCAUGAACAUC